Non-coding RNA from Pangasius djambal, 72 nucleotides. NCBI's taxonomy places the organism in Eukaryota, Metazoa, Chordata, Actinopteri, Siluriformes, Pangasiidae. The record is from the annotation of a GenBank genome assembly.
UCCUUGGAGGUCUAGUGGUUAGGCCUCGGCGCUCUCUCGGCCGUGACCUGGGUUUGAUUCCCGGCCAGGGAA